GACGAACGCUGGCGGCGUGCUUAACACAUGCAAGUCGAACGGAAAGACCCUGCUUUUGUGGGGUGCUCGAGUGGCGAACGGGUGAGUAACACGUGAGUAACCUGCCCUUGACUUUGGGAUAACUUCAGGAAACUGGGGCUAAUACCGGAUAGGAGCUCCUGCUGCAUGGUGGGGGUUGGAAAGUUUCGGCGGUUGGGGAUGGACUCGCGGCUUAUCAGCUUGUUGGUGGGGUAGUGGCUUACCAAGGCUUUGACGGGUAGCCGGCCUGAGAGGGUGACCGGCCACAUUGGGACUGAGAUACGGCCCAGACUCCUACGGGAGGCAGCAGUGGGGAAUAUUGCACAAUGGGCGGAAGCCUGAUGCAGCAACGCCGCGUGCGGGAUGAUGGCCUUCGGGUUGUAAACCGCUUUCGCCUGUGACGAAGCGUGAGUGACGGUAAUGGGUAAAGAAGCACCGGCUAACUACGUG
Molecule: ribosomal RNA, 468 nt
Filed under: uncultured bacterium
Lineage: Bacteria
Description: partial 16S ribosomal RNA
Rfam family: Bacterial small subunit ribosomal RNA
Source: RNAcentral